Molecule: RNA transcript, 707 nt
Organism: Oncorhynchus gorbuscha (pink salmon)
Lineage: Eukaryota; Metazoa; Chordata; Actinopteri; Salmoniformes; Salmonidae
Gene name: peptide Y-like
Exons: 4
Source: RefSeq, a predicted model, not a curated record
GUGACUUUGCCGUGUCUCAAGGCGCGCGCAUCAGGUAGCCUUGACCAUAUAAACCAUCCGGAUUUGGGAAUAAUAAAACGCACAACCAGAACAUAGUGAAAACCGGUGAAGCAAGCAAGCCUGCUGCAGAAUGGCCAACACACUGAGACCCUGGUUGAUCCUUGUCGUCCUCGUCCUGGGCGUGCUGGUUUGUCUGGGCACUUUCACGGAUGCCUACUUUACCAAGCCGGUGAGCCCCGAUGACAACGCGCCUCCGGAGGAAUGGGCCAGAUACAACACAGCGCUGCGACACUACAUCAACCUCAUCAAUAGACAGAGGUAUGGAAAGAGAUCUGCACCUGAGUCAGCUCUGGGGUGGUUGCUGUUCAGAGAUGAGUCGGAAGGCGAUUUAACACAACGGUGAGAGGAUGAAGAGACUGAGGGAAAGGGUGAUUCAACGUGACUGUCUGCUCUUUGUUCGGGUGGCAGUGAUCUCGGAUAAAUCUGGGUCCCGUCCCACUGGCAUGCUGUUCCACUCAAAUGGCGGACCUUACAACAACUCAAAUAGGCUGCUCAACUGGCAACCUUCACUGGACUGUGUGGCCCACUAUUUAUGUUCAACAUCUCUGUCUCUCUUUCUCACUCUCUCAUUCCAACACAUAAUUGUCUAUUUUUGGUUGUUGACAUAAUUUGUAAUUAAAUUCAACAAUGAAUAAUAAAUACAUGUG